This 563-nucleotide long non-coding RNA is filed under the name Equus caballus (horse). RNAcentral's name for it is "lncRNA (ENSECAG00000049343.1)". The record is from RNAcentral. Lineage: Eukaryota; Metazoa; Chordata; Mammalia; Perissodactyla; Equidae.
GGCAUUUCUGGGCAGAUCACUUAAGAAAAACGUGUGCUGGGCAAGGAAAAAGCCUUGCUGAUUCCUCUCAUUCUGUGCUGGUGGACCUACCGAUGCUCCUUAGGUGAGAAAUAUUGGCUGUGCCUUAGUUUAAGGAACUGAGUAGUCCGAGACACAAAACCCACAGAGAAGAGGUGACCGAGCUCUGGCUGCCUUGAGGGAAUGCUCCGUGCCUUCUCAGUCACAGCUCUCCAGCCUCUGCAGAAGUCUGCUUUCCAUCUGCCUCCAGAACAAACAGCCACGGGCCAUGUAGUAGCUACCAACUCCAGUCCUGCAUGGGAGUGACUCAUGUCACAGAGAAGGGCUUUUGAUCAGUCUACAGCCUCCUGGAAGCCUUAAGAGCCCAGUCCAGAAGAGCAUGAUCGUUUGGCUUCUUGACAUCCCUCCAUCACCUAAGCACAGUACCGGGCUCACGGAAGGUGGAUACUGAAUGAAAAGGACAAAAAUACAUUUGAAUGCAUUUAUUUAGGGCAAAAAGUGGUGACAAGCAGACAGUAUUGAAUUCCGAUGUCCCUUGAAUGAAC